This 443-nucleotide ribosomal RNA is filed under the name uncultured bacterium. RNAcentral's name for it is "partial 16S ribosomal RNA". It matches the Rfam family "Bacterial small subunit ribosomal RNA", at positions 338 to 795 of the family's 1533-position model. The record is from RNAcentral.
CCUACGGGGUGCUGCAGUGGGGAAUAUUGGACAAUGGGGGGAACCCUGAUCCAGCGACGCCGCGUGAGUGAAGAAGUAUUUCGGUAUGUAAAGCUCUAUCAGCAGGGAAGAAAGAAAUGACGGUACCUGACUAAGAAGCCCCGGCUAACUACGUGCCAGCAGCCGCGGUAAUACGUAGGGGGCAAGCGUUAUCCGGAUUUACUGGGUGUAAAGGGAGCGUAGACGGCAGUGCAAGUCUGGAGUGAAAGGCGGGGGCUCAACCCCCGGACUGCUCUGGAAACUGUACGGCUGGAGUGCAGGGGAGGUAAGUGGAAUUCCUAGUGUAGCGGUGAAAUGCGUAGAUAUUAGGAGGAACACCAGUGGCGAAGGCGGCUUACUGGACUGUAACUGACGUUGAGGCUCGAAAGCGUGGGGAGCAAACAGGAUUAGAUACCCCAGUAGUC